This 252-nucleotide ribosomal RNA is filed under the name uncultured bacterium. RNAcentral's name for it is "partial 16S ribosomal RNA". It matches the Rfam family "Bacterial small subunit ribosomal RNA", at positions 524 to 776 of the family's 1533-position model. The record is from RNAcentral.
UACGUAGGUCCCGAGCGUUGUCCGGAUUUAUUGUGCGUAAAGCGAGCGCAGGUGGUUUAUUAAGUCUGGUGUAAAAGGCAGUGGCUCAACCAUUGUAUGCAUUGGAAACUGGUAGACUUGAGUGCAGGAGAGGAGAGUGGAAUUCCAUAUGUAGCGGUGAAAUGCGUAGAUAUAUGGAGGAACACCGGUGGCGAAAGCGGCUCUCUGGCCUGUAACUGACACUGAGGCUCGAAAGCGUGGGGAGCAAACAGG